GUCUGGUGGGUAGUUUGACUGGGGCGGUCUCCUCCUAAAGAGUAACGGAGGAGCACGAAGGUUGGCUAAUCCUGGUCGGACAUCAGGAGGUUAGUGCAAUGGCAUAAGCCAGCUUGACUGCGAGCGUGACGGCGCGAGCAGGUGCGAAAGCAGGUCAUAGUGAUCCGGUGGUUCUGAAUGGAAGGGCCAUCGCUCAACGGAUAAAAGGUACUCCGGGGAUAACAGGCUGAUACCGCCCAAGAGUUCAUAUCGACGGCGGUGUUUGGCACCUCGAUGUCGGCUCAUCACAUCCUGGGGCUGAAGUAGGUCCCAAGGGUAUGGCUGUUCGCCAUUUAAAGUGGUACGCGAGCUGGGUUUAGAACGUCGUGAGACAGUUCGGUCCCUAUCUGCCGUGGGCGCUGGAGAACUGAGGGGGGCUGCUCCUAGUACGAGAGGACCGGAGUGGACGCAUCACUGGUGUUCGGGUUGUCAUGCCAAUGGCACUGCCCGGUAGCUAAAUGCGGAAGAGAUAAGUGCUGAAAGCAUCUAAGCACGAAACUUGCCCCGAGAUGAGUUCUCCCUGAGACUUAGAGUCUCCUGAAGGAACGUUGAAGACGACGACGUUGAUAGGCCGGGUGUGUAAGCGCAGCGAUGCGUUGAGCUAACCGGUACUAAUGAACCGUGAGGCUUAACCUUACA
RNAcentral lists this ribosomal RNA (678 nucleotides) under Salmonella enterica subsp. enterica serovar Infantis. RNAcentral's name for it is "partial 23S ribosomal RNA". It matches the Rfam family "Bacterial large subunit ribosomal RNA", at positions 2256 to 2925 of the family's 2925-position model. The record is from RNAcentral. Lineage: Bacteria; Pseudomonadati; Pseudomonadota; Gammaproteobacteria; Enterobacterales; Enterobacteriaceae. RNAcentral also lists the same sequence under 2 other names.